UUAAUGCCUAGAGGGUGGUGGAUAGUGAA
RNAcentral lists this non-coding RNA (29 nucleotides) under Macaca fascicularis (crab-eating macaque). RNAcentral also lists the same sequence under 1 other name. The record is from RNAcentral. Lineage: Eukaryota; Metazoa; Chordata; Mammalia; Primates; Cercopithecidae.